RNAcentral lists this small nucleolar RNA (133 nucleotides) under Choloepus hoffmanni (Hoffmann's two-fingered sloth). RNAcentral's name for it is "Small nucleolar RNA SNORA70 (ENSCHOG00000015672.1)". It matches the Rfam family "Small nucleolar RNA SNORA70". Rfam says of the family: snoRNA U70 seems to be exclusive to mammals and is a member of the H/ACA class of snoRNA which contain H (ANANNA) and ACA box motifs. H/ACA box snoRNAs are involved in the conversion of uridines to pseudouridines (5-ribosyluracil) a constituent of structural RNAs (transfer, ribosomal, small nuclear, and small nucleolar). Lineage: Eukaryota; Metazoa; Chordata; Mammalia; Pilosa; Megalonychidae. The record is from RNAcentral.
GUACAUGGAAGAAAACAGAAACACAAAGACCAAAUCUGGCCCAGUGUGCAACGACUGUAGACAGCAGCCUCCCUUGUUAGCAGAUGCAGCCUAUUCCUUGUAUAGGAUGCCCUAAGGGACCUUGGAGACAGCC